AGAGUUUGAUUAUGGCUCAGGGAUGAAACGCCAGCGAUAGGCCUAACACAUGCAAAGUCGAGGGGGCAGCACAAUGAAGUAGCAAUACGGAUGGUGGCGACCGGCGCACGGGUGAGUAACGCGUAUGCAACCUGCCUACAACAGGGGAAUAACCCGUUGAAAGACGGACUAAUACCCCAUAACACAGGGAUCCCGCACGGGAAUAUUGUUAAAGAUUUAUCGGUUGUAGAUGGGCAUGCGUUCCAUUAGCUGGUUGGUGAGGUAACGGCUCACCAAGGCAACGAUGGAUAGGGGAACUGAGAGGUUCAUCCCCCACACUGGUACUGAGACACGGACCAGACUCCUACGGAAGGCAGCAGUGAGGAAUAUUGGUCAAUGGACGCAAGUCUGAACCAGCCACGUCGCGUGAAGGAAGACGGCCCUACGGGUUGUAAACUUCUUUUGUAAGGGAAUAAAGUGUAGUACGUGUACUAUUUUGCAUGUACCUUACGAAUAAGGAUCGGCUAACUCCGUGCCAGCAGCCGCGGUAAUACGGAGGAUCCGAGCGUUAUCCGGAUUUAUUGGGUUUAAAGGGUGCGCAGGCGGGAGAUUAAGUCGGCGGUGAAAUUUUGCAGCUCAACUGUAAAAGUGCCUUCGAAACUGGUUUCCUUGUGUGUGGAUGAAGUAGGCGGAAUUUGUGGUGUAGCGGUGAAAUGCAUAGAUAUCACGAGGAACUCCGAUUGCGCAGGCAGCUUACUAAACCAUAACUGACGCUCAGGCACGAAGGCGUGGGGAUCAAACAGGAUUAGAUACCCUGGUAGUC
RNAcentral lists this ribosomal RNA (802 nucleotides) under uncultured Proteiniphilum sp. RNAcentral describes it as "bacterial SSU rRNA". It matches the Rfam family "Bacterial small subunit ribosomal RNA", at positions 8 to 795 of the family's 1533-position model. Lineage: Bacteria; Pseudomonadati; Bacteroidota; Bacteroidia; Bacteroidales; Dysgonomonadaceae. The record is from RNAcentral.